GGGCCCUCUCUGAGCUGAUUGUUGCCUUCUCUCGUGAAGGUCCAAUAAAAGAAUACGUGCAGAAUAAGAUGUCUGAGAAGGCCUCGGAGAUCUGGAAUGUCAUCUCCAAGGGUGGUUACAUAUAUGUUUGUGGUGAUGCCAAAGGCAUGGCGAAAGAUGUUCACAGAGUUCUUCAUACAAUUGUUCAAGAGCAGGGAUCUCUAGAUAGCUCGAAGACCGAGAGCUUGGUGAAGAGCCUGCAAAUUACAGGGCGUUACCUACGCGAUGUUUGGUGAGUUCGACUGACUUCUAAAGGAAAGAGCUCAAUGUUGCAUAAACAUAUACCAAGUAUCCUGGAGCCUCGGGCAGGUGGGCGCAUAAUUUGUUAUUAAUAUAUUUAUUGUGUAAUUUUUUUGACUGUCCGACUAGGUUUUAGUCUCUGUAAUAUACUUAUAAGCAGGCGGAUUUAUUUGUUAGGAGA
RNAcentral lists this unclassified non-coding RNA (460 nucleotides) under Hevea brasiliensis (rubber tree). Lineage: Eukaryota; Viridiplantae; Streptophyta; Magnoliopsida; Malpighiales; Euphorbiaceae. The record is from RNAcentral.